UACGUAGGGGGCGAGCGUUGUCCGGAAUUAUUGGGCGUAAAGAGCGUGUAGGCGGUCCGGUAAGUCUGCCGUGAAAACCCGGGGCUCAACCCCGGGCGUGCGGUGGAAACUGCCGGGCUAGAGGAUGGUAGAGGCGAGUGGAAUUCCCGGUGUAGCGGUGAAAUGCGCAGAUAUCGGGAGGAACACCAGUAGCGAAGGCGGCUCGCUGGGCCAUUCCUGACGCUGAGACGCGAAAGCUAGGGGAGCGAACAGG
This 253-nucleotide ribosomal RNA is filed under the name uncultured bacterium. Its description in RNAcentral is "partial 16S ribosomal RNA". It matches the Rfam family "Bacterial small subunit ribosomal RNA", at positions 524 to 776 of the family's 1533-position model. The record is from RNAcentral.